Salvia miltiorrhiza (redroot sage) is the source of this 695-nucleotide long non-coding RNA. RefSeq lists it as uncharacterized. The transcript is spliced from 2 exons. The record is from RefSeq and is a predicted model, not a curated record. NCBI's taxonomy places the organism in Eukaryota, Viridiplantae, Streptophyta, Magnoliopsida, Lamiales, Lamiaceae.
AUUAGAUCCUGGUGGGAUAAUUUUUGAGGUGAACAAGUAAAAGUCAAUUUUGACGGGCUACCAAUGAAUUACUAAUUUCCACGUCGGAAAAGUCCAGUUGACGUGCACGACACGUGACAAUCCUUUGUAAAAUGGCGUAAUAAAUGAGACGGAUCUUUUUCUUUUUUCUUUUUUCUUUUUUUCCGACAAACACAACAGAUCCGAAUCAGCGCCCUAUUUUCUCCUCUCGCGAUUUCUGGAAAUCGCAGAUCAUAUUUGGACAGACAGGACACAAGGUAUCAUCAUUAUAUGGAUAAGGCAGAACCUAACAAGGAGCUCAUUGAGGAUUCAACUCGUGAAUCACUAAUUGCCAUCUCGUACGGGGUACCUGACAACGUCAAACAACCUGCUGCAACCUCUCCUAAAGAUACAAAUGGUGACAACGCUUGUGACACCCCAGACUUCGAUGGAGAAGAGAAGUAUAGGUCUGAGCUGAUUUCCAUUUCCUAUUCAUCAUCACCAGAUAUGGAAGUGUGGCCGCUGUCGCCCUGUGGAGUUUGACUGGUAGCGUAUGCUACAGCUUCGCCACACGCUACUAUGUAAAAUUCCGGCCGCCAAAAAUUGUAAAAACAAUUCUUCUUCUGUUUAUGAUUUGUGUUGCAAAACUUGUGACAUCAAGAACUCUUUUGUUCAAUAGAGUAAACAUGCUGUGGAUA